This 609-nucleotide ribosomal RNA is filed under the name metal-contaminated soil clone K20-91. Its description in RNAcentral is "bacterial SSU rRNA". It matches the Rfam family "Bacterial small subunit ribosomal RNA", at positions 51 to 692 of the family's 1533-position model. The record is from RNAcentral. Lineage: Bacteria; Pseudomonadati; Acidobacteriota.
ACACAUGCAAGUCGAACGAGAAAGUGGAGCAAUCCAUGAGUACAGUGGCGUACGGGUGAGUAACACGUGGGUAAUCUACCUUUUAAUGAGGAAUAACCGAGGGAAACUUUGGCUAAUACCGCAUAAGCCUGAGAAGGGAAAGCAGAAAUGCGCUGAAAGAGGAGCCCGCGGCCGAUUAGCUAGUUGGUGGGGUAAGAGCCUACCAAGGCAGAGAUCGGUAGCCGGCCUGAGAGGGCACACGGCCACACUGGCACUGAAACACGGGCCAGACUCCUACGGGAGGCAGCAGUGGGGAAUCUUGCACAAUGGGGGAAACCCUGAUGCAGCGACGCCGCGUGAGCGAUGAAGCCCUUCGGGGUGUAAAGCUCUUUCGUCAGGGAAGAUAGUGACGGUACCUGGAGAAGCAGCUGCGGCUAACUACGUGCCAGCAGCCGCGGUAAUACGUAGGCAGCAAGCGUUGUUCGGAGUUACUGGGCGUAAAGGGUGUGUAGGCGGUUCCUUAAGUUUGCUGUGAAAUCUCCCGGCUUAACCGGGAGGGUGCGGUGAAUACUGAGGGACUAGAGUACGGGAGAGGAAAGUGGAAUUCCUGGUGUAGCGGUGAAAUGCGUA